Long non-coding RNA from Hibiscus syriacus, 109 nucleotides. RefSeq lists it as uncharacterized. The record is from RefSeq and is a predicted model, not a curated record. The transcript is spliced from 3 exons. Lineage: Eukaryota; Viridiplantae; Streptophyta; Magnoliopsida; Malvales; Malvaceae.
UUUAUACAGAAGCUACCGCUCUUGGUAAAUCUUUAAGUGGCAGAUUUCUUGUUGUUUGCCUCGAGGAUAUAAGUCCUUACCUGGGAGGGGUUGAGUUCAAUGACCCUCA